RNAcentral lists this small nucleolar RNA (85 nucleotides) under Erinaceus europaeus (western European hedgehog). RNAcentral's name for it is "Small nucleolar RNA SNORA42/SNORA80 family (ENSEEUG00000023514.1)". The record is from RNAcentral. Lineage: Eukaryota; Metazoa; Chordata; Mammalia; Eulipotyphla; Erinaceidae.
GUAUACACUUGCCAGAGUAAGUGCAGUCUCAAACCAUUGCCCAGCACCCUACCCAUGGGUUGUGAGCACUAAACGGGGCACAGUU